GCGUGCCUAAUACAUGCAAGUAGAACGCUGAAGAGAGGAGCUUGCUCUUCUUGGAUGAGUUGCGAACGGGUGAGUAACGCGUAGGUAACCUGCCUUGUAGCGGGGGAUAACUAUUGGAAACGAUAGCUAAUACCGCAUAACAAUGGAUGACCCAUGUCAUUUAUUUGAAAGGGGCAAAUGCUCCACUACAAGAUGGACCUGCGUUGUAUUAGCUAGUAGGUGAGGUAACGGCUCACCUAGGCGACGAUACAUAGCCGACCUGAGAGGGGGAUCGGCCACACUGGGACUGAGACACGGCCCAGACUCCUACGGGAGGCAGCAGUAGGGAAUCUUCGGCAAUGGGGGCAACCCUGACCGAGCAACGCCGCGUGAGUGAAGAAGGUUUUCGGAUCGUAAAGCUCUGUUGUAAGUCAAGAACGAGUGUGAGAGUGGAAAGUUCACACUGUGACGGUAGCUUACCAGAAAGGGACGGCUAACUACGUGCCAGCAGCCGCGGUAAUACGUAGGUCCCGAGCGUUGUCCGGAUUUAUUGGGCGUAAAGCGAGCGCAGGCGGUUUGAUAAGUCUGAAGUUAAAGGCUGUGGCUCAACCAUAGUUCGCUUUGGAAACUGUCAAACUUGAGUGCAGAAGGGGAGAGUGGAAUUCCAUGUGUAGCGGUGAAAUGCAUAGAUAUAUGGAGGAACACCGGUGGCGAAAGCGGCUCUCUGGUCUGUAACUGACGCUGAGGCUCGAAAGCGUGGAGAGCGAACAGGAUUAGAUACCCUGGUAGUCCACGCCGUAAACGAUGAGUGCUAGGUGUUGGAUCCUUUCCGGGAUUCAGUGCCGCAGCUAACGCAUUAAGCACUCCGCCUGGGGAGUACGACCGCAAGGUUGAAACUCAAAGGAAUUGACGGGGGCCCGCACAAGCGGUGGAGCAUGUGGUUUAAUUCGAAGCAACGCGAAGAACCUUACCAGGUCUUGACAUCCCGAUGCUAUUUCUAGAGAUAGAAAGUUACUUCGGUACAUCGGUGACAGGUGGUGCAUGGUUGUCGUCAGCUCGUGUCGUGAGAUGUUGGGUUAAGUCCCGCAACGAGCGCAACCCCUAUUGUUAGUUGCCAUCAUUCAGUUGGGCACUCUAGCGAGACUGCCGGUAAUAAACCGGAGGAAGGUGGGGAUGACGUCAAAUCAUCAUGCCCCUUAUGACCUGGGCUACACACGUGCUACAAUGGUUGGUACAACGAGUUGCGAGUCGGUGACGGCAAGCUAAUCUCUUAAAGCCAAUCUCAGUUCGGAUUGUAGGCUGCAACUCGCCUACAUGAAGUCGGAAUCGCUAGUAAUCGCGGAUCAGCACGCCGCGGUGAAUACGUUCCCGGGCCUUGUACACACCGCCCGUCACACCACGAGAGUUUGUAACACCCGAAGUCGGUGAGGUAACCUUUUGGAGCCAGCCGCCUAAGGUGGGAUAGAUGAUUGGGGUGAAG
This 1459-nucleotide ribosomal RNA is filed under the name uncultured organism. RNAcentral describes it as "SSU rRNA". It matches the Rfam family "Bacterial small subunit ribosomal RNA". The record is from RNAcentral.